AUUUACAAAACCCAAAUUCUCCACUUAUCUCUCAAAUUAAUAUUCUAAAGCCCCAAAACAAUUUAAGUGGAUUGGGCUCGGAUUUAUUUUGCAUAGCCUAUUGCUAAUUAUAUUCAUGGCCCAAAACCAAUUAAUUCAUUAGCCCAAGUAAAAUAAGCCCAAUUAAAACCCUAUGUAAAAAAAACUAAGUCUUCUUCCUCCCCCAUUCAUCAAUCUCACGACAGCAGCCCCUCUCCCUCCCCUCUCUCCCCCGUCGCCGCCGAUCCACCAGGGGCCGCCGGAGCGGCGGCGCUCCUUUCUCCCUCUCUUCUCCCCCUUCUCUCCCUCUCUCAGCCUCACGCCGUCGCGCCGCCAUCCCCCCCUCCGUCUUUCCAGAUUCGCCGCCGCCGUGCAUGCGCAGGCGGCGGCUUCGUCGUCCUUCUCCCGGCAGACCGGCCGUCUCCGGACAGCAGCGGAUCGGUGCCCUCUCUCCGUCGGUUCCUCUCUCUCUCUCUCGGCGACCAGCGCCGCCGCUCACUGUCGUCCGAUGUUCGGAGUGGCGAUUGCUGCUGUUCCGCAGUGACCGUGCAGCGAUUGCUGCUCCGCAGCCCGUCAGUCUCAACCUAAAGCUAAGUUCUCCUUCCCCCUUCCCCUUCUACUCAAUUAUUUGAGUUAUUACUGUAACUACGAGUGCAUCUAAGUUUCUAAGUUGAAAGUCCUGAAUAUUUGUGAUGUUUACACCUUGAUCUUGUAGGGAUUGAUUAUUGCUUUUGAUACUUGGGUGCUCAAAGUUUAGGGAUCGUACUGCUUAAUUCUAGCAGCCUAUAUUGCCAUGAAAAACUCAGUUUAAGCUCGUGGCUUUGAUGUAGGAAAAUAAAUAACAUCCAUAGUCUUCCGUGAUGAUGUACCGGACUUUCUUGGAGUGCGAGCACGACCGUUGAACUGGCUGCGUAAACUUUUCUCUAAUUGUAAUAGAUAAGGAUUUGAUAAAUUUGUAUAAUAGUAAUUUAGCGGACUUCGGAGAUAUGCUGGACAUUAUAACUUUUUAUUUAGUGUUACUUUUUUUUUUUUA
Salvia splendens (bonfire salvia) is the source of this 1051-nucleotide long non-coding RNA. RefSeq lists it as uncharacterized. Lineage: Eukaryota; Viridiplantae; Streptophyta; Magnoliopsida; Lamiales; Lamiaceae. The record is from RefSeq and is a predicted model, not a curated record. The transcript has 2 exons.